UACGUAGGUCCCGAGCGUUGUCCGGAUUUAUUGGGCGUAAAGCGAGCGCAGGUGGUUUAUUAAGUCUGGUGUAAAAGGCAGUGGCUCAACCAUUGUAUGCAUUGGAAACUGGUAGACUUGGGUGCAGGAGAGGAGAGUGGAAUUCCAUGUGUAGCGGUGAAAUGCGUAGAUAUAUGGAGGAACCCCGGUGGCGAAAGCGGCUCUCUGGCCUGUAACUGACACUGAGGCUCGAAAGCGUGGGGAGCAAACAGG
This 252-nucleotide ribosomal RNA is filed under the name uncultured bacterium. RNAcentral describes it as "partial 16S ribosomal RNA". It matches the Rfam family "Bacterial small subunit ribosomal RNA", at positions 524 to 776 of the family's 1533-position model. The record is from RNAcentral.